GAUGAACGCUGGCGGCGUGCUUAAUACAUGCAAGUCGAGCGAACGGACCCGAAGCUUGCUUCUCUGACGUUAGCGGCGGACGUGUGAGUAACACGUGUAUAACCUCCCUAUCAUUCUGGUAUAACUUCGGGAAACCGUAUCUUAUACCGGAUAAUCUCUUGAACCGCAGUGUUCAAUAGUGAAAGACGGUCUUGCUGUCUCUUCUCGAUGCAUCCGCGCUGCAUUAGCUAGUUGGUAAGGUAACGGCUUACCAAGGCAACGAUGCAUAGCCGACCGGAGAGGGUGAUCGGCCACACUGGAACUGAGACACGGUCCAGACUCCUACGGGAGGCAGCAGUAGGGAAUCUUCCGCAAUGGGCGAAAGCCUGACGGAGCAACGCCGCGUGAGUGAUGAAGGUCUUCGGAUCGUAAAACUCUGUUAUUAGGGAAGAACAUAUGUGUAAGUAACUGUGCACAUCUUGACGGUACCCAAUCAGAAAGCCACGGCUAACUACGUG
RNAcentral lists this ribosomal RNA (497 nucleotides) under uncultured bacterium. RNAcentral describes it as "partial 16S ribosomal RNA". It matches the Rfam family "Bacterial small subunit ribosomal RNA", at positions 28 to 507 of the family's 1533-position model. The record is from RNAcentral.